This 224-nucleotide long non-coding RNA is filed under the name Elaeis guineensis (African oil palm). Its description in RNAcentral is "long non-coding RNA (EGUI_LNC014319)". The record is from RNAcentral. Lineage: Eukaryota; Viridiplantae; Streptophyta; Magnoliopsida; Arecales; Arecaceae.
CCCAUAGGACUAGGAUCGAGAAUCUUUUGGCCUCCUAUGUCGAAGUGGAAGAAAGGGAAACAUAAGCUGCCUGGAUUCAUAGGCCAUAUAUUGGCUUGAGUUUAGCUUCAUGAGCCUUUGCACAGCCACAAGUAUCCACACGAGCUCCAAUUUUUCCAUAGGCAUAAUAGAUCUCAGAUAACUCCUCAUAGGAGAAUUACUGCCACAAGGUCUUAUCCUUCACC